Molecule: long non-coding RNA, 1162 nt
Organism: Callorhinus ursinus (northern fur seal)
Lineage: Eukaryota; Metazoa; Chordata; Mammalia; Carnivora; Otariidae
Source: RefSeq, a predicted model, not a curated record
AUUCAGGCCAUUUUGGGGGCAGUGUGCAAACCUCUUGGCAGGGUGUUAUCCCUUGAUCUUCCUGGGAAACCCCUAUUGUAUGAGAACUCUGAUACGACAAGGAGCCCCAAAGCUGCCUUCAUUCCCUAUUACUUUUGUUUGCAUCAUUCCAAAGCCGGAGAUAAUGGUGGCAGUCAUUACUGGCUACGAUCCAAUCGUUUAGGAGAAGAGAAUUUAAUACCCCUCUCACACCUGAGCCCCAGCAUUCCACAGGCCAAUGGCACUUUGUAGGGCCCCACUUUGUGGCUGAAACAAGAAUGCGACUGCAGUGAAGGAUUGCCAUCAUCAUCCCGUGAAGGUGUCCUGUGCCAGUGGAGAGUUCCUUUUCAAGUUUACUCCCAUGGGAGUAGCUGUGGACUCCAGAGGGAUUGUACUGAUGGAGGCACCAGCUGCACCCCGGUAUCCGACAGCUCUGGCCCCUUCCUGCCCUGUAUCAACAGUCUGCUGAACGAGUGUAGGGACCAGAGGGACUGGCACUGGCCAUGUGGUGGUGGCUUUUGCUGAUAACCACGGAUUUAAGGCCAACGACUGCACAGGGCCCUGCCUGGCUCACAGAGGGACGGAUGUAAGGGUGAUCAGCCAAGAGGGUCUGGCCAGGAGGUGGGGUCUGACCUGGCAGCACUGAAUGUGGGCUGUGGGCAUUCCUGCUGCCUUCACUCUCCCUUCUCCCAACACUGGGGUUGCAAUUUUUGUAUCCGAUUUUGCUUUGGGGACUGAAUGGGCCUGUACUAUGGCCCAAGGACUGGUGCUGAGCUUCACCUAACCGUACCUCUACCCCCAGCCCGGGGCCAGAACUGCCUCUUACUCUCGGGCCUAAGUCCCUCUGGUUGUCUUCCUACCACCCCAUACACAUUGACAGAGACGGGCAAUACCCCACUUCUCAUAUUAAAUGUAUACACACACACAAAGCCAAGUGCAGGAUGAUACAUAUUUUAAGAGCACAUUUCCCAUUUACCAUUACUUCAUCAAAAGAGGUCUUGUCAGGGGUCUCCACUAGGAAUUGCCUGAUGGGCUUUCUACGUGUGUAAUAUGUGCAAAAACCCAUAUGGAUUAUUGCCUGAGUUUAUCUUUCAUGUUCCAAAAAACGAUAAGCAAACCAGAGAAAUAAAAAAUAAAAAAUAAA